This 1528-nucleotide ribosomal RNA is filed under the name Klebsiella pneumoniae. Its description in RNAcentral is "bacterial SSU rRNA". It matches the Rfam family "Bacterial small subunit ribosomal RNA". The record is from RNAcentral. Lineage: Bacteria; Pseudomonadati; Pseudomonadota; Gammaproteobacteria; Enterobacterales; Enterobacteriaceae.
AGAGUUUGAUCAUGGCUCAGAUUGAACGCUGGCGGCAGGCCUAACACAUGCAAGUCGAGCGGUAGCACAGAGAGCUUGCUCUCGGGUGACGAGCGGCGGACGGGUGAGUAAUGUCUGGGAAACUGCCUGAUGGAGGGGGAUAACUACUGGAAACGGUAGCUAAUACCGCAUAACGUCGCAAGACCAAAGUGGGGGACCUUCGGGCCUCAUGCCAUCAGAUGUGCCCAGAUGGGAUUAGCUAGUAGGUGGGGUAACGGUUCACCUAGGCGACGAUCCCUAGCUGGUCUGAGAGGAUGACCAGCCACACUGGAACUGAGACACGGUCCAGACUCCUACGGGAGGCAGCAGUGGGGAAUAUUGCACAAUGGGCGCAAGCCUGAUGCAGCCAUGCCGCGUGUGUGAAGAAGGCCUUCGGGUUGUAAAGCACUUUCAGCGGGGAGGAAGGCGUUAAGGUUAAUAACCUUGGCGAUUGACGUUACCCGCAGAAGAAGCACCGGCUAACUCCGUGCCAGCAGCCGCGGUAAUACGGAGGGUGCAAGCGUUAAUCGGAAUUACUGGGCGUAAAGCGCACGCAGGCGGUCUGUCAAGUCGGAUGUGAAAUCCCCGGGCUCAACCUGGGAACUGCAUUCGAAACUGGCAGGCUAGAGUCUUGUAGAGGGGGGUAGAAUUCCAGGUGUAGCGGUGAAAUGCGUAGAGAUCUGGAGGAAUACCGGUGGCGAAGGCGGCCCCCUGGACAAAGACUGACGCUCAGGUGCGAAAGCGUGGGGAGCAAACAGGAUUAGAUACCCUGGUAGUCCACGCCGUAAACGAUGUCGAUUUGGAGGUUGUGCCCUUGAGGCGUGGCUUCCGGAGCUAACGCGUUAAAUCGACCGCCUGGGGAGUACGGCCGCAAGGUUAAAACUCAAAUGAAUUGACGGGGGCCCGCACAAGCGGUGGAGCAUGUGGUUUAAUUCGAUGCAACGCGAAGAACCUUACCUGGUCUUGACAUCCACAGAACUUUCCAGAGAUGGAUUGGUGCCUUCGGGAACUGUGAGACAGGUGCUGCAUGGCUGUCGUCAGCUCGUGUUGUGAAAUGUUGGGUUAAGUCCCGCAACGAGCGCAACCCUUAUCCUUUGUUGCCAGCGGUCCGGCCGGGAACUCAAAGGAGACUGCCAGUGAUAAACUGGAGGAAGGUGGGGAUGACGUCAAGUCAUCAUGGCCCUUACGACCAGGGCUACACACGUGCUACAAUGGCAUAUACAAAGAGAAGCGACCUCGCGAGAGCAAGCGGACCUCAUAAAGUAUGUCGUAGUCCGGAUUGGAGUCUGCAACUCGACUCCAUGAAGUCGGAAUCGCUAGUAAUCGUAGAUCAGAAUGCUACGGUGAAUACGUUCCCGGGCCUUGUACACACCGCCCGUCACACCAUGGGAGUGGGUUGCAAAAGAAGUAGGUAGCUUAACCUUCGGGAGGGCGCUUACCACUUUGUGAUUCAUGACUGGGGUGAAGUCGUAACAAGGUAACCGUAGGGGAACCUGCGGUUGGAUCACCU